This 446-nucleotide ribosomal RNA is filed under the name uncultured bacterium. RNAcentral's name for it is "partial 16S ribosomal RNA". It matches the Rfam family "Bacterial small subunit ribosomal RNA", at positions 338 to 795 of the family's 1533-position model. The record is from RNAcentral.
CCUACGGGUGGCAGCAGUCGAGAAUCAUUCACAAUGGGGGAAACCCUGAUGGUGCGACGCCGCGUGGGGGAAUGAAGGUCUUCGGAUUGUAAACCCCUGUCAUGUGGGAGCAAAUUAAAAAGAUAGUACCACAAGAGGAAGAGACGGCUAACUCUGUGCCAGCAGCCGCGGUAAUACAGAGGUCUCAAGCGUUGUUCGGAAUCACUGGGCGUAAAGCGUGCGUAGGCUGUGUCGUAAGUCGUGUGUGAAAGGCGCGGGCUCAACCCGCGGACGGCACAUGAUACUGCGAGACUAGAGUAAGGGAGGGGGAACCGGAAUUCUCGGUGUAGCAGUGAAAUGCGUAGAUAUCGAGAGGAACACUCGUGGCGAAGGCGGGUUCCUGGACAUUAACUGACGCUGAGGCACGAAGGCCAGGGGAGCGAAAGGGAUUAGAUACCCUUGUAGUC